CAAAAUUGACAUUAGGGUUUAGUUAUCGAAGAUGGGGGACGACCGUAAGCUCAGAGAUCCAUCGAUAUGCUGGAAGCGAAGUUUAUCUAUAAACAAUAAACAUCCGGUACGGCGUUCAGAUGAAAUAGAGGGAGAAAGAAAGAGAUGGAGAGAGACUAGAGGAGGGAGACGGCGUAAAGGACAAGGAGGAUGACCACCGUCGUUAGAGGGAGGCUUGGCGUUGGCAUCAUCGCCAUCCACACGCUUGGCCUGGUUGUAUUCCGGCGAACCUAGUGUUCUGCCGUGACUUCCGACGGUGGUGGAUAGGGUCAAAUCAACCACCAAAACCGGCGGCGGCUAGGGUUUCGUGGUGUAAGGGGUUGCUGAUGAGAUUCAGAUCCCAUUCAGGCAGAUUUUUGUUAGAGUUUCUUGAGAGGUAUUGUACACCUCUUCUUCGUCGCCAAACGCAUGCUAAAAGCACCAAGAAGAUUGUGCUGAGGUUGCAAGCAUGUGUCCCAACAUCCAAUUAAGAGAUGCAAACAUUUUGACAUUGAUGGAGACAAGAAGGACAAUGGAACUAAACAAAAAAGAUGCAAACAAUUUGGCAUUGGUGCAGAGAUGCAAACAUUUUGACAUUUGUAUACGUCGUAUGUGUUGGAAUUUUCGUGUAACUUUUAGAAAAAUAAUUAUUUGUCAAUUUGUCAAACAAACUGAACGCAGCGGAAAACAUGUACACGAGGUUCGGUUCUAAACCGUUUCCACCAGUGAUCUCUUUACAAUCAAAAUAGGUUAUAAUAAAAUUAAAGAAUCGUGACA
Long non-coding RNA from Helianthus annuus (common sunflower), 795 nucleotides. RefSeq lists it as uncharacterized. NCBI's taxonomy places the organism in Eukaryota, Viridiplantae, Streptophyta, Magnoliopsida, Asterales, Asteraceae. The record is from RefSeq and is a predicted model, not a curated record. The transcript is spliced from 3 exons.